Molecule: RNA transcript, 4862 nt
Organism: Musa acuminata AAA Group (dessert banana)
Lineage: Eukaryota; Viridiplantae; Streptophyta; Magnoliopsida; Zingiberales; Musaceae
Exons: 5
Source: RefSeq, a predicted model, not a curated record
AAUGCAAAAUCAUUGUGGACCACUUUACGGUGAACAGUAUAGUGUGACAAAAAUGAGACAACAUACACGCAUUAGCAGUCCCUUUAAAAUGCGGAUGCUAAUGAGGGCAUAUGGGCAAGAAGGCUGAUGAGUUUAUUACAAGCUUAGGAUGUUAAGGAGAGAGACUCUAUUUUGGACUAGGCUUCUAAACAAGCAUUCUAGUCCUGCUUCAAUUUCAUCAAUGCUGUUCUGUAAUAUUUGCAACUGAUCUCGUGCCUUCUGUACCCUCCCAUCAUCAUUAGCUUCAAUAUCCUCAUGCUCCCCCUCACAGGCCACUUUCCUUUUGUGCAAUGCCUUUGAGAUAAGAGACCAUCUGCUAGUUUUGGUUUUUGGCCUUGGCAUGGACAAAAACUUAAGAAUGGACUGAAGAAGAGAGAUGGUGAUUUCUCUUGCUGCUUUCAAAGCUCUGACCACUGUCCAUGAAUUAGAUUCCUUAUCAUCAGUACAACAUAAGGCAUAUUUGUCAUCCAUCUGCUUCAGGAAUCUGAAGCAAUUCUUGACAUCUUUCUCUGCCUUCUUGUCAGGAUGAAGAUAAGCUUGCAUCUUGCUUUGGGCAACUACUUCUCCUUGUCUUCUAAGGGUCAUUUCGAGGUCUCGAAUCUGCUCCUUUAUCAAGAUCAUGUUAUCUCUCAAUUUGCCAAGCAAGUCCAACAGCCUGACAGACAUUUCCAACUCCACCUCCACCCAUUUGUUUUGUUGUGGAUUCAUGAAGAUCUGGUUGCUGCUAGGCAAGCAAAGAAGCUCUUCAAUGCACCUGUACAGACCUUGGAUCCCUCUCGAUCCCUCGCAUAUCAUAUGGGCCGUUGAAGAGGAUUGAACUACAGAAGACUUGACUUUCUGCAACUCUUCUUCCACUUUGAGCAUGAAGGGAUGGUCUCCAGAAGGCAUGCUGGUGGAUCGGGCAUGGAAAGGCUGGAUUGUUUUCGUAGGAGUGUCAGCCAUGUUUACAAUGCAAUCUUGGAAAGCCUUCGGCUUCUGACUGUUGCAAACAGGAUGGGAAGAUGUGACUGACCCUUGAACUCUCCCUACUUAUAGACUCAAUUGCAUAUUGCAGAUGGAGGCAAAUAGAAUCUUACCAGCUCAGCUGAACAUGAUAUGUGAAGCUUGGUAUUUGGAUCCGGUAUCCUCUUGUCCAAACAGGCCACUUUCCUCUUGUGCAAUGUCUUUGAGAUAAGAGACCAUCUGCUAGUUUUGGUUUUCGGCCUUGGCAUGGACAAGAAGUUAAAUAUGGACUGAAGAAGAGAGAUGGUGAUUUCUCUUGCUUCCUUCAGAGUUCUGACCAGCAUCCAUGAAUCAGAUUCCUUAUCAUCCGUAAAACAUAAGGCAUAUUUGUCAUCCAUCUGCUUCAGGAAUCUGAAGCAAUUCUUAACAUCUUUCUCUGCCUUCUUUUCAGGACGAAUAUAAGCUUGCAUCUUGCUGUGGGCAACUGUUUCUCCUUGUCUUCUGAGGGUCAUUUCAAGGUCUCUAAUCUGCUCCUUUAUAGAGUUUGUGCUAUCUCUCAAGGUGCCAAGCAAGUCCAACAGCCUGACAGAUACAUCCAACUCCACUUCCACCCAUUUCCUUUGUUGUGGAUUCGAGAAGAUCUGGUUGCUGCUCGGCAAGCAAAGAAGCUCUUCAAUGCACCUGUACAGACCUUGAAUUCCUCUCAAUCCCUCACAUAUCACAUAGGCAGUUGAAGAGGAUUGAACUACAGAAGACUUGACUUUCUGCAGUUCUUCUGCGACUCUGAGCAUGUAGGGAUGAUCUCUAGAAGGCAUGCUGGUGGAUCGGGCAUGGAAAGGCUGGAUCGGUGUCGCCGGAGAAUCAACCAUCUUUACAAUGUGAUCUUGGAUGGCCUUCAGUAUGUAUUAUCAGCAGAGUGGCACAAACCGGAUGGGAAGAUGUGACUGAUUCUUGAACUCUCUCUACUUAUAGACCCAAUUUCAUACAGCAGAUGGAGGCAAAUAGAAUCUCCCCAGCUCAGGUCAACAUGAUAUGUGAAGCUUGGCAUUUGGAUCUGCUAUCCUCUUGUCCAGACAGGACGACCAGCUAUAUAUAUCAGUAUGUUCUUGGAAGGCCUUUGGAAUAAAUUAUUAAUUGAAGACUACAGAAAAGAAGGAUGUGAAGAUGUGAAAGAGCUUGGAACUUCGCCAACUUAAAGACCCAGUUUCAUGAAGCAGAUGUGAGGCUAGUGGAAUUUAACUAGCCAAUAUGGUACAUGAAGCUUGCAAUUUGGAUCUUGUAGCCUCUUCUUCGAACAGGAUAUGUACUCGAGCGAAGCAUGCAGUGAGAACAAAUCUGAUCUUUCAAUUCCAUUUCCAUCCUCAUGCUCCCUCUCGCAUGCCACUUGCUUCUUGCUUAAUGCCUUGGAGACAAACGACCACCUUCCUGUCUUUGGUCGUCCUGCCUGCAAUGACAAGAAAGACGGCACUAGAUGGAUGAGAGACAAUGUGAUCGCCUUCAGUUCCAUCAAGAGCCUGCUCACUAUUGGUUUUCCACAGUCCUUGUCUGCACAUUUUCCCUCCACCUUCAAUGAUCUGAAGCAGUUCUUCACAUCCUUGUCUGCCUUCUUGGUAAAACGAAGGUAAGCAUUCACUGUUCUUUCUGCUGCAGCAACAUCUCUUCUUCGGAGCGCCAGCCGAAGGUCUUUGAAGUGCUCUUUGAUCAUAGCCAAGCCAUCUUUCAAAUCACUGCACAAGUCCAGCAAUCUGACGGACCCAUCCAAUUCAUCUUCCAGCCAUUUCUUCUGCAAGGAACAGUGGUUGCAUGGCAAGCGAAGAACCUCCUUGAUAGAUUCAUACACAGCCGCAAGCUCUCUUAACCCAUCGGAGAUCAUCUGUGGCGAUGAAGGAGAAGAUGUUGCUACAAAAGUCCUAAGCUUACACAGCUCUUCUUCAACUCUAAAUAUCACAGGGUGAGGUCUGGAAGGCAUGCUAAUGGAACGGAGAUUGCAAGGCUGGGAUGUCAUAUUUGCUUCUGGCCAAAAGUAGGGGGGAUCACUCAAGUUGUGUGACUGCUGAAGAUGAGCAGAGGAUACCCAGGGUGAGCUCUUCUUAUAAACCAGCAUGGAUACCCAGAGGUUGGUCAGACGAAGGGGACAACAAGAAUCCCUCUUUCUUGAGUUGUCAUGUGAUGCCAAUGUGGUUCUUGGCUUGCAAUGUGAUUUUUGUGUUCAUCACCCAGCAUCUCAUUGUUUCAUCAGUUGGCAGCAAAGAAGCAAGACAAGAUUGGCAAUAAUUAUUAUUGGUGGGUACAACCGAAACCACAGGGAGAAUCUGAUCAUGAUAUGUUGGACUGAUGCACAGGUGCAGUGUACAUAAUGAACUGCUUUAAGAUGAGCUGCAUGUAUGAGUUGGGGAAUGCACCUCUUGCAGUGAUCUCAAAGCAGGAUUGUCUCCUGAUCAUAAAUGGUUCCUUGGUAUUAUUAUAUUCGAGCUUCACCGGCUAAAUCUGGAUCUCGAGGUACAUCUGCAUGAAACGAUGCCAUCUUCCCACCUGUUCUCAAGGUAAGCCUCGUUCUCAGGCUAGUCGAUAUAUUUCUUGCUUGCUGUAAAAGUCCCAUGCAGUCAUUGAUAGAUAUGGGAGAGGCAGCCACCGACCAUUAAUAUAUCACUUGUCCCACACGCCACUUUAACCUAUCCGUCACCUUGCUUUCCGACGUGUUAUAUGGGACCCAUGAGGUUUGCUAUACAACAUUGAUGGGAAAACUAACUUAGUUAACGAUUACCGGAUUCGACGUAUAAUCCCACGACUCAUUAAUGAUCAGAUGACGCAUAUUACAAAUAAGUCCCGUUAAGUAUAUUCUUUGAGGACUUGACUUGAUAUAUUCUCCAACUUGAAUUCACCAAAAUUAAGAUUCAGAUCAUAUGCAGCCUUUACCACAUAAAAUUUAUUCAUAUGAUGUGGGCCGACGUGGGUUCAGCCCACAUCGUGGCCCGACGCGGUUCGGCUCAAUCUCGGAGCCUCUGGCUCAGAGGCCGGCGCGGGUCGGCCCAGUCCUGUGUGGCCCCGUUCGGGUUGGUACGGCCCAGCACCUUAAGCGCCCGUGGAGCCCAGCAGACAGGCCCUCUUCUGAUCGGCACGUGCGGCUCACAUCCGCCGGUUUCGUCCCCUUGCAGGCUCGGCCAGGGUUGACGCCAGGAUUCAGCCCACAGCGUCUGUGGUCACCGUUUUAGCCCAGCGAGAGCCGAAGUGACCACUUAGUGAGGCUGAACCAAACCGGUUUUAUCGAUUUUGAUCGGUUCAAGCCUCUUUAACCUAAAUUAGAUCUAAUCAAAUAUGAAGAUUCCAGACUAGUUCUAUGAGAAUUUUAGAUUGAUUCAAUUAGAUCCUGGUUGAAUCUGAGUCCAGAUCAAGUUAUCAACUAUGGUUGCAAGUCAAUUGAAGUUUUGAUUAAGAGAUGACUUCUUGUAUUAUUAAUGUAUGCAUAUGAAUUUGAUACGAUAUGUCGAUAGUUGUGGAUCUUAUCCAUGGUCAAGAAGGCCAGUAUAUUGGUAGGAGAUGAUUGCUAGAUAGUUCCUUUCGAAGGAAUGUAUUGACAGGUGAGGCAUACUAUAGUAUCUACGAUCGGGAGUGUAAUAUAGUUUCUCUCUAUCUACUGUUUAACGAAAAUCGAAUCUAACGAACAAAGCAUCCUCAUUCAUUAUUGGAAAAGCGCUCAACUAGUGUCCAACAUAUGCCAAAUCUUCAUACGAUUUGACAUUGAACAUGCUAUCGAGACUAGUUAUUGAAAUUUAUGAUCGAAUAUUUUGAUAUCGAUUAUAACUUACCGAUAAAUAUUUGUACAUAUCUUAUUAUUGAUUUUGUUAUAUAUUUUAAGAUGGUGAUUACAAGGUUCCUACUCA